Molecule: long non-coding RNA, 331 nt
Organism: Plutella xylostella (diamondback moth)
Lineage: Eukaryota; Metazoa; Arthropoda; Insecta; Lepidoptera; Plutellidae
Source: RefSeq, a predicted model, not a curated record
GAAGCUCCAAACCCUUCGCUGCUGCAACCCGUACUGCGACGUGCCGGUGGUGGCGCUGCCCCCGCAGGCCGCCCCGCAGUCCCCCCCGCAGCAGUCCGGGGCGGUGGCGGUAUGCGCGCAGUGUUGCUACUGUUGCAUGCAGACCGGGUCGUACUGCUGUCUGAUCGCCGCGGCGGGCUGCGUGGCGUGUAUCAAUGGGUGCUGCUAUGGGUGGUGCGGGCCGGAAUAUUGUUGCUGACGCUACCGGCCAAGUGAUUUAAGUUAUUACAAAUAUUAUUUAUAUCUUUGUUAAUUUUUAUUGUAGAAGGGAUAUAAAAUAAAUAAUCAUUUG